RNAcentral lists this long non-coding RNA (1624 nucleotides) under Sus scrofa (pig). RNAcentral describes it as "lncRNA (ENSSSCG00050055950.1)". The record is from RNAcentral. Lineage: Eukaryota; Metazoa; Chordata; Mammalia; Artiodactyla; Suidae.
AUGGUGUCCCUCGCCUGCUUCCCAAAGCCCUGCCCACGGCCUUUCAGGGGCCUACACCCACUUCCUCUUGGUCAUUGCCUCCCAGAGUCUCUGCUCCACCGACUUCUCCGAGGCCCCAUCUUCCGCCUAGGCCAGCACCUCGGACAGCUCCAGCGGCGCGCGCCCGCCGCGGCGCGCAGCUCCACCGCCCUGAGGCUCUCCGGGUCUCCAGACGGGGUCCCCGGGCCGCUCCUCCGAGCCGGUGCUCUGGGCCCCUCCCCCAGCUCCGUCCCCCAGGUCGGUCCCCUGGGAGGGGGGCCCCCGGGGGCCCCCGAGCUUCCUAGAGCUCCCGGAAGUUCUCCGAACGGCGCGGGGUGGGGCUCACCCUGGGCGCGGCGCGCGCUUCCGGCUCGGCUCCAGCCAGGUCCGGGCUACAGACCAAGAGGGUGGAGCUCAGAGUGGAGAGCAGAUUCCCAGGCAGGAAACCCUGGAGGAGGCAGAACCCCAGGGCACCCCGGGGACAACAGGGCCAGGGAGCUGCCAGGCCCUGCCGAAACCAUUGAGGGUCACGGGGUGGGUGUGGCAGCCACACAAGACCUGCCCUCAGCAGGCGAUUCCUGGGGAGCAGAGGAACCACGAACCUGAGCCCAGAAGCCAAGCCAGCUUCGCUGCCAACCUGGUGACCCUCCAGGAAGAUUGCGCAGGAGGGAGCCCUAGUGACCCCAGCUGGAGGAGCCACUCAGAAUCCAGCAAGUGUGGGGAGACCCAGCUGGGAGAACAAGCCUCCGCGCAUGCAGGGCCGGAGUCCUGAAGCAGCGGAAGUUUCCCAACAGGGAGAAACCUCAGAAGUGCAGCCGAGGUUCGUGCACCACUCACUCAAGCAGCAUCUGCGGUUCCAGAAUGUGGCCAGGCCUUCAGCCCCAUUCAGCACCAGCAGGUCCACACCCAGGAGAAGCGCUGCACCUGCCAGCAGUGUGGGCACACCUUCAGUGGCAGCUCCUUCCUCAGCAAGCACAGGUGCAUCCACGCCGGGGAGAAGCCUACGAGUGCGGCGAGUAUGGCCAGGCCUUCAGGGCCCUGUCGGGCUUCUUUCUUGGCACCAGCAGGUUCACAUGGGGGAGAAGGCUUUCUACUUCACCCACGGCUGGAACUGAGGUGGCCAGUGUGUCCCAGAGGUCCUCUGGGGCCUCUGCAACGUGGAGCAGACCUUGAGUGGACAGCACUCGGGUGCUGGUGACGCCUGUUUCCCCGCUCUGGGUGCAUGGAGACCACCAUGGGACCCCGACUGAAGCUGGCCCACAACCUGGACCCUGGUGAAGAUGCCUGGGCCUACUCCCUCGCCCUCACCUCCAGCAGGGCCUUGGCUGCCCUCUGGGCCUCCACGUGAAACAAGCAUGAAAAGAGUCCCUAUUGCGGACAGGAGAGAAGGUGAGGCAGGGUGGCUGUGCCCUUUCUCUUUCUCUCCCUGGACGACAUGGAGGCCUUGCUUUUUUUUUUUUUUUUGGUCUUUUGGCUGCACCCAUGGCAUAUGGAGUUCCCAAGCUGGGGGUCCAAUUGGAGCUGUAGCUUCCAGCCUACGCCACAGCCACAGCAAUGCCCGAUCAGAGCCAUGUCUGUGACCUACACCACAUCUCACAGCAACACC